UAGGGAAUCUUCGGCAAUGGACGAAAGUCUGUCCGAGCAACGCCGCGCGAGUGAAGAAGGUUUUCGGAUCGUAAAACUCUGUUGUUAGAGAAGAACAAGGACGUUAGUAACUGAACGUCCCCUGACGGUAUCUAACCAGAAAGCCACGGCUAACUACGUGCCAGCAGCCGCGGUAAUACGUAGGUGGCAAGCGUUGUCCGGAUUUAUUGGGCGUAAAGCGAGCGCAGGCGGUUUCUUAAGUCUGAUGUGAAAGCCCCCGGCUCAACCGGUGAGGGUCAUUGGAAACUGGGAGACUAGAGUGCAGAAGAGGGGAGUGGAAUUCCAUGUGUAGCGGUAAAAUGCGUAGAUAUAUGGAGGAACCCCAGUGGCGAAGGCGGCUCUCUGGUCUGUAACUGACGCUGAGGCUCGAAAGCGUGGGGAGAAAACAGG
Molecule: ribosomal RNA, 429 nt
Filed under: Gemmatimonadota bacterium
Lineage: Bacteria; Pseudomonadati; Gemmatimonadota
Description: Gemmatimonadetes bacterium partial 16S ribosomal RNA
Rfam family: Bacterial small subunit ribosomal RNA
Source: RNAcentral